UAUCUCAAUGAGUUGGGGUUCGAGGCUUU
This 29-nucleotide non-coding RNA is filed under the name Rattus norvegicus (Norway rat). The record is from RNAcentral. Lineage: Eukaryota; Metazoa; Chordata; Mammalia; Rodentia; Muridae.